RNAcentral lists this ribosomal RNA (253 nucleotides) under uncultured bacterium. RNAcentral describes it as "partial 16S ribosomal RNA". It matches the Rfam family "Bacterial small subunit ribosomal RNA", at positions 524 to 776 of the family's 1533-position model. The record is from RNAcentral.
UACAGGGGGGGCAAGCGUUGUUCGGAAUUACUGGGCGUAAAGGGCCAGUAGGCGGCCGACUAAGUCCGACGUGAAAUCCCAAGGCUUAACCUUGGAACUGCGUCGGAUACUGGUGGGCUUGAAUUCGGGAGAGGGAUGCAGAAUUCCAGGUGUAGCGGUGAAAUGCGUAGAUAUCUGGAGGAAUACCGGUAGCGAAGGCGGCAUCCUGGACCGACAUUGACGCUGAACGGCGAAAGCUAGGGGAGCAAACGGG